RNAcentral lists this ribosomal RNA (1546 nucleotides) under Escherichia coli. Its description in RNAcentral is "partial 23S ribosomal RNA". It matches the Rfam family "Bacterial large subunit ribosomal RNA", at positions 1 to 1591 of the family's 2925-position model. Lineage: Bacteria; Pseudomonadati; Pseudomonadota; Gammaproteobacteria; Enterobacterales; Enterobacteriaceae. The record is from RNAcentral.
GGUUAAGCGACUAAGCGUACACGGUGGAUGCCCUGGCAGUCAGAGGCGAUGAAGGACGUGCUAAUCUGCGAUAAGCGUCGGUGAGGUGAUAUGAACCGUUAUAACCGGCGAUUUCCGAAUGGGGAAACCCAGUGUGUUUCGACACACUAUCAUUAACUGAAUCCAUAGGUUAAUGAGGCGAACCGGGGGAACUGAAACAUCUAAGUACCCCGAGGAAAAGAAAUCAACCGAGAUUCCCCCAGUAGCGGCGAGCGAACGGGGAGGAGCCCAGAGCCUGAAUCAGUGUGUGUGUUAGUGGAAGCGUCUGGAAAGGCGCGCGAUACAGGGUGACAGCCCCGUACACAAAAAUGCACAUAUUGUGAGCUCGAUGAGUAGGGCGGGACACGUGGUAUCCUGUCUGAAUAUGGGGGGACCAUCCUCCAAGGCUAAAUACUCCUGACUGACCGAUAGUGAACCAGUACCGUGAGGGAAAGGCGAAAAGAACCCCGGCGAGGGGAGUGAAAAAGAACCUGAAACCGUGUACGUACAAGCAGUGGGAGCCUCUUAAUGGGGUGACUGCGUACCUUUUGUAUAAUGGGUCAGCGACUUAUAUUCUGUAGCAAGGUUAACCGAAUAGGGGAGCCGAAGGGAAACCGAGUCUUAACUGGGCGUUAAGUUGCAGGGUAUAGACCCGAAACCCGGUGAUCUAGCCAUGGGCAGGUUGAAGGUUGGGUAACACUAACUGGAGGACCGAACCGACUAAUGUUGAAAAAUUAGCGGAUGACUUGUGGCUGGGGGUGAAAGGCCAAUCAAACCGGGAGAUAGCUGGUUCUCCCCGAAAGCUAUUUAGGUAGCGCCUCGUGAAUUCAUCUCCGGGGGUAGAGCACUGUUUCGGCAAGGGGGUCAUCCCGACUUACCAACCCGAUGCAAACUGCGAAUACCGGAGAAUGUUAUCACGGGAGACACACGGCGGGUGCUAACGUCCGUCGUGAAGAGGGAAACAACCCAGACCGCCAGCUAAGGUCCCAAAGUCAUGGUUAAGUGGGAAACGAUGUGGGAAGGCCCAGACAGCCAGGAUGUUGGCUUAGAAGCAGCCAUCAUUUAAAGAAAGCGUAAUAGCUCACUGGUCGAGUCGGCCUGCGCGGAAGAUGUAACGGGGCUAAACCAUGCACCGAAGCUGCGGCAGCGACGCUUAUGCGUUGUUGGGUAGGGGAGCGUUCUGUAAGCCUGUGAAGGUGUGCUGUGAGGCAUGCUGGAGGUAUCAGAAGUGCGAAUGCUGACAUAAGUAACGAUAAAGCGGGUGAAAAGCCCGCUCGCCGGAAGACCAAGGGUUCCUGUCCAACGUUAAUCGGGGCAGGGUGAGUCGACCCCUAAGGCGAGGCCGAAAGGCGUAGUCGAUGGGAAACAGGUUAAUAUUCCUGUACUUGGUGUUACUGCGAAGGGGGGACGGAGAAGGCUAUGUUGGCCGGGCGACGGUUGUCCCGGUUUAAGCGUGUAGGCUGGUUUUCCAGGCAAAUCCGGAAAACCAAGGCUGAGGCGUGAUGACGAGGCACUACGGUGCUGAAGC